GACGUAGGGGGCAAGCGUUUAUUCGGAAUUAUUGGGCGUAAAGCGUGCGCAGGCGGUGAUGUAAGACAGGUGUGAAAUCCCCGGGCUUAACCUGGGAACUGCAUUUGUGACUGCAUCGCUGGAGUGCGGCAGAGGGGGAUGGAAUUCCGCGUGUAGCAGUGAAAUGCGUAGAGAUGCGGAGGAACACCGAUGGCGAAGGCAGCCCCCCUGGGCUGACACUGACGCCUCAGGCACGAAAGCGUGGGGAGCAAACAGG
This 256-nucleotide ribosomal RNA is filed under the name uncultured bacterium. RNAcentral describes it as "partial 16S ribosomal RNA". It matches the Rfam family "Bacterial small subunit ribosomal RNA", at positions 524 to 776 of the family's 1533-position model. The record is from RNAcentral.